Molecule: unclassified non-coding RNA, 251 nt
Filed under: uncultured Russula
Lineage: Eukaryota; Fungi; Basidiomycota; Agaricomycetes; Russulales; Russulaceae
Description: sequence contains ITS2
Source: RNAcentral
AAUUCUCAAAAUCCCUUUUCUUCUGGAAAAGGUUUUUUGGACUUGGAGGUUCAAUGCUAGCCUUCACCUUUGAAGGUGAGCUCCUCUCAAAUGAAUUAGUGGGGUCUGCUCUGUCGGUCCUUGACGUGAUAAAAUGUUUCUACGUUUUGGAUUUGGCACUGUCUCUUGGACACCUGCUCCUACCCGUCUCAGGGACAAAUGAUGGUGCUUCGGUCACCGCCGUUGGCGGGAGGCUGGGCCCACGGAAAAAC